RNAcentral lists this long non-coding RNA (1006 nucleotides) under Homo sapiens (human). RNAcentral's name for it is "HSALNT0377139". The record is from RNAcentral. Lineage: Eukaryota; Metazoa; Chordata; Mammalia; Primates; Hominidae.
CUCCGCGCGCCUGCCCACGCGCUCCGGUACUCGCUGCUCGCGGCUGGCCGGCUCGGGAUUCCGGGCUUUCUUCCCGAGACCGCGUCCCCCAGCUGGGCCGAAGGUGGACGCUCAGGGGCUGGAGGCUCAGCGGAAUCCCCUGCGUUCAGUAGCCCCGCUCUCCCCUGUCCCGAAGGAUUACUCUGCCCCUCAGCGGUUCCAGUGCCCUCAAAGCAAUCUGUCUCUGAAGUACUGGCUAUCUUCUGAGCGUGUGCCAGAAGAUCCAGCUUUGUUGAAAAGCGAAGCCGUUAGUCCCUUAAUACAAAGGAUCAGGGAUAGCAGAAAUGAAAGUAUAAUGGAAGCAGCUGGAGGAUUCCAGGUCCACUUUCACCCAAGUAAUGGAGACGGAAGGUUCAUCGAAACUUCUUCAGCUGCAGAUCUAGAAGUCAUUAGCUAUUCUAGCAAAGUAUCUGUCACAGAAAGGUGCUUCAUAAAGGUCUGCACUGUGCUCUUUUGACCUGUGUCUUCAAGCAUGUGCUGUCAUAACAGAUUAAAGAUGACUGAAAAUUAUCUGCCACUCAUUGCGUGAAAGGUGGGAUCUGUAGACCUCCCUCUUGAAUUUGGGAGGGUUCUGUGACUGCUGUGACCAAUGAAUAUGGCAGAAGUGACGCUUUGCCAACUUCUGGGUCCAGGCUAUACGAGACAGGCAGUUCCACUCACUGUCUCUUAGAUCCAUGUAAAAAGUUCAUCUACCCUGCUGGAAAAACCAUGUAGAGAGGCCCUGAGACUACAUUGGGUGGGAGAGGGGCUCAGCUGCACCAUCUUCCAACUGUCCCCAUCAAGAUGACAGAAAUAUAAAUGAAGCCUUCUUGAACUCCAGACCAUCCAUGCUACAAGCUAAAUGCCACCAAGCGACCCCAGUUAAUACCAUGUGGAGCAAAAAUAUCACUUAACCAAGCACUGCCUGAGUUUCUGACCCCACAGAAUUCUGACCCCAUACAAAUAAAAUAAUUUUUGUAAUUUUUUA